CUCUUCAAUACGCUUCAGGCCACCCAGUGAUAUCUUGUCCCAGUAUGAGGGAUCUGCCUUGCACUUCUCAAAGAAGUCAACAAGGAUCUCAGCAGCCUGCUCACCAUGGUAAGGAUCAAUGUGGUAGCCAGAUUUCCCGUUAACGAUAAUCUCAGCCGGGCCACCCUUGCAAGUUGCAAAUGUUGGCAAUCCACAGGUCAUGGCCUCAACAACAGUCAAGCCAAAGGCCUCAUACAGUGCAGGUUGCACAAAAGCUCCCUUUGUAUCACAAAUGUACCGGUACAAUUCACCGUUCCUGACCCGAUUCAUCUGAGAUGAGAUCCAUCGGAACUGGCCAUUCAAUUUGUAUUGAUCAAUGAGGGAAUACAUCUUCUUCAUUUCAGCCUGUUCUUCCAAGUCCUUGGACUCCUUUCUCCUAUCACCACCCACUACGACUAAGUUAACCAACUCACGUAGCUUAGCAUUCUUUCCAUACCACUCCACA
Molecule: long non-coding RNA, 484 nt
Filed under: Citrus maxima (pomelo)
Lineage: Eukaryota; Viridiplantae; Streptophyta; Magnoliopsida; Sapindales; Rutaceae
Description: long non-coding RNA (CMAX_LNC001966)
Source: RNAcentral